CCUACGGGAGGCAGCAGUGGGGAAUCUUGCGCAAUGGCCGAGAGGCUGACGCAGCGACGCCGCGUGGGGGAUGAAGCAUUUCGGUGUGUAAACCCCUGUUGCUCGGGACGAACGACCCUUUUCGAGGGGUGUGACGGUACCGAGUGAGGAAGCACCGGCUAACUCCGUGCCAGCAGCCGCGGUAAUACGGAGGGUGCGAGCGUUGUCCGGAAUCACUGGGCGUAAAGGGCGCGUAGGUGGUUGGAUGCGCCGGUGGUGAAAGCGCAGGGCUCAACCCUGCGUCGGCCAUCGGGACGGUCCGACUGGAGCACUGUAGAGGCAGGUGGAAUUCCGGGUGUAGCGGUGGAAUGCGUAGAGAUCCGGAAGAACACCGGUGGCGAAGGCGGCCUGCUGGGCAGUUGCUGACACUGAGGCGCGACAGCGUGGGGAGCAAACAGGAUUAGAUACCCUGGUAGUCCACGCCGUAAACGAUGGGCACUAGGUGCUUGGGGGAGCGACCCCCUGAGUGCCGACGCUAACGCAUUAAGUGCCCCGCCUGGGGAGUACGACCGCAAGGUUGAAACGUCAAAUUGAAUUGACGG
RNAcentral lists this ribosomal RNA (581 nucleotides) under uncultured bacterium. RNAcentral describes it as "bacterial SSU rRNA". It matches the Rfam family "Bacterial small subunit ribosomal RNA", at positions 338 to 916 of the family's 1533-position model. The record is from RNAcentral.